Non-coding RNA from Triticum urartu, 1779 nucleotides. NCBI's taxonomy places the organism in Eukaryota, Viridiplantae, Streptophyta, Magnoliopsida, Poales, Poaceae. The record is from RefSeq and is a predicted model, not a curated record.
AAGUCCCAGCCCAUGCUCUGUUCUUAUUCUCCGGCGAGAUUUUCUCAGCCCCGCAUCUUUUUAUCUUUAUGUUUCUUCUCCGGCUUGAGGGAGUGGAUUCCCAUCACUAGAUUCUUGGAUAAAAGGAGGAGAUGCAAGAUACUCCACAACCGCAUGGACCAAACCUAUAGCUCGAUCGGCCUUGUUAAGUGACAAUAUAUUGAGAUCUAGAACAUUGCGGAGCAACGAGUGACAAAAGUAUUAGAUGAGAUGUGGAACAUUGCGGGCAACUCUUUGUUGACUGGACACAUGAGAUGCAACGUGAGCUUCUUCGCCUGUAACGGGAUGCAUUUCUCUUCCAGAUUAUUGAAGAGAUUGUUAAGGAUUGAAUGUUCUAUUUGGUACUGUCCAGAUGAGUUCGUCCUGUGCUAGAAGGUGUGUGGGAUAUAGGAGAUACAAGGAGAGAUAUUUCAGUUGCAAUCCAGCUUUAUUUCAAUGUAAAAGAUGCAGGUUCUACGAUCUCCUGUGUUGCUACAUCUUCAUCUCCUGCAUUGUUGUAACUCUGUUCUGCUGCUCGAGAAGAAGCAGGAGCAAAGCAUACGCAUGCUUCCUUGGUGAGUUUAGAGUUUACCCUGUCUCUGGAAGUUGAAAUUGGCUCUCAUGCGAGCGACGGCCUUUUGUUAGCCAUGGGUCAUUGUGGUGCCUGUUGGGCCUUUGGUGUUGUGGAGUGCCUGCAAGAUCGUUUCUGCGUUCCUCAGCAUGGACCGUUAGUAAGAUUGCUCAUUGGCAAGCGAAAGAGGUUUGCGGAUUCUUGCACGACUAAGGAAGAAAUUUGUUAUUUGAAGUAUGCACAAGAGAUAUUGCAAGGUAUUUCUGUUACUAGCUUCAUAUCUUCUAGAACCUAUGUACAGAUAAUGAUUCGUAACUGCAAUUAUUUUUGUCCUAAAUAUAGAAGCAAAUUGAAGAGUUAGACUUCUGUAUGGAAAUUUAGAUAGUAGUUCCUUGGAAGGCAGUUUAAUUUCUUGCAUUGAUUCCUCAUGCUAUAAGCCACACCUUUCCUAUUUUGUUAAAGAAGUAAACUCAUGCUAUACACCACCAGUCAGCCUAGCGUUCAAGCAGGCCACUAGGCCAGGCCAUUCAAGCAAACCUCGCUGCCACUACAGUUUAGUUCUUAGCUAUGCGUGUGACUAUUUCAAUCGACAGGACAAAAAACUAUGGGAGGAAUCAAAGGCACGCAUCUGACCUCAGGUGCACAUACCAAUUGAAAUAAGAGGUGAUAAUGUUAUCAUAUAGCUAUACUGGAUUUAUUAUUAACUUAAUGACCAAACUGGAUGGUAAAAGCUUACUUCACUUGGAUAACAGGAGUCGGACACCAAAAGCUUGCUAUCUAAUUUUCUUCUCUGUACAGGAAAAAAAUAUACCGAUAAUUGGACAUUGAAAGUCUGCUAAAUUUUUUUUGAGCUGUAUAGUGUAUACCUUUAUAAUAUAGAUCCUUGCUCAUGUUACACCUUUCUUGUUCUUAUGGCGAAAAAAAUAGCAUAUUAACCAUUUCUAUAUUUUUUUCUGUGCUUUUCUUUUAAUACAGUAGUGUCUAUGCUUAUGGAUUUCUUAUAUUUUUGUUGUCAAUCUAGCAUGCCUGUGUCACUCCCGUCCUGUUUUAGCUCUGUUGAUGGAUGAUUUCUGCCAUUUCUUUUUAUUCCCAUUUCAUGUGUAAGCAUUUGAUAUAUCAUGAGGGUAUGUAUGAUUUAUUUGAUAUGGGCAAAGAAAUAUCUACUCCAAAUAUGGGAUAUUGGGUUGUGG